Molecule: long non-coding RNA, 387 nt
Filed under: Amborella trichopoda
Lineage: Eukaryota; Viridiplantae; Streptophyta; Magnoliopsida; Amborellales; Amborellaceae
Description: long non-coding RNA (ATRI_LNC001336)
Source: RNAcentral
CAGAGAUUCUCAGUGUGAGAUAGACACAAUUUGAGAAAAAGAGAGAUAAUCAACGGGUUGAUAGAUAAAGAUACUUGCAGCAGAGGGAUGAAAAAGAGGUUGUUGCAGCAGAGAGAGAAGUUGUUGCAGUAGAGAGAGAAGUUGUUGCAGUAGAGAGAGAAGUUGUUGCAGCAGAGAGUAGAGAGAGAAGUUAGAGAGAAAGAGAGGUUGUUGCAGCAGAGAGAGAAGUUAGAGAGACAGAGAGGUUGUUGCAGUAGAGAGAGAAGUUAGAGAGAGAGAGGUUGUUGCAGCAGAGAGAGAAGAGAGAGAGAGGUUUAGCAGGUGAAGGGAAGCAGAGAAAAAGAGCAAAGAGGGAUGGAUCCUGAUAAAGCUUAUAUGAGCCUGCAC